AUACGUAGGGGGCGAGCGUUGUCCGGAAUGAUUGGGCGUAAAGGGCGCGUAGGCGGCCUGUUAAGUCUGGAGUGAAAGUCCUGUUUUCAGGAUGGGAAUUGCUUUGGAUACUGAUGGGCUUGAGUGCAGGAGAGGUUAUCGGAAUUCCCGGUGUAGCGGUGAAAUGCGUGGAGAUCGGGAGGAACACCAGUGGCGAAGGCGGCAAACUGGACGGUAACUGACGCUGAGACGCGAAAGUGUGGGUAGCAAACAGGAUUAUAUACCCUGGUAGUCCACGCCGUAAACGAUGAGAACUAGGUGUCGUGUGAGUUGACCCCCGCGGUGCCGAAGCUAACGCAUUAAGUUCUCCGCCUGGGAAGUACGGUCGCAAGACUAAAACUCAAAUGAAUUGACGGGG
RNAcentral lists this ribosomal RNA (397 nucleotides) under uncultured bacterium. Its description in RNAcentral is "partial 16S ribosomal RNA". It matches the Rfam family "Bacterial small subunit ribosomal RNA", at positions 523 to 918 of the family's 1533-position model. The record is from RNAcentral.